This 910-nucleotide long non-coding RNA is filed under the name Brassica napus (rape). Its description in RNAcentral is "long non-coding RNA (BNAP_LNC016229)". The record is from RNAcentral. Lineage: Eukaryota; Viridiplantae; Streptophyta; Magnoliopsida; Brassicales; Brassicaceae.
GUAUUUAUAACAGUUUCAAACCCCAAUUUUUUUUUUCAUUAGGAAUACAUACUUAUCCUAGAAAAAAAUAAUUUUCAUAAAUCUAAAAAGCAUACCGUAUACGGCGGAGGCCUUCAACCCCCACACCUCCCAAAUGUCGACUUUGAUAGCGAAUCUAUCUUUUUUACGCCUACAUCCGACCCAAUAACUCAUGGAUUUUUACUUGUGCACAGAAAUUUAAAACAUUUCCAGUGUUAACACGGUAAGAUUUUGUCCCUAUUACAAAGUUGAAGCCUUUUGUUUAUACAUAUUCGAAAUUUUUAACAUAUUAGAACUUAGUACACUUAAACCAAGUGAGAACAAAAAUACAAAUUGUGUUAUAUUUCAGAUGUACAUAGAAACAAAACAUAACUGAAAUCAAUUGUUUUAUGCUCCCGAUACAUUAGAUUCACUUAAACUUUCACUUAUGGUCUAAUAACUAGCAAGAAGAGCAAGUUUAGAUUACCGACAACGCUUGGAUAUUUGGCUAAUAACUAGCAAGAAGAGCAACGUUUAAAUUUUGGACCAACUAUACUGGAAACAAAAGGCGGUACCAGUCCUAAGAUAAUUAGUUUAGAUAUUAGGUUUCAACUGAGUUUGAUCAUGUUCAAAACUUUUAAAAUCUUGGAUUAAUGGUCAAGACGACGGAAGCCCAUUUGAUCGAGCCAGAUAUAUUUUGAGCUGAAAUUGGCAAACUCCAUACUAAAUAAAUUAUAAUAGCACACAGACAAUUAAACACAAUUAUUUCCUUUUGAAAACUGAAGAUUAACCAUCCACCGGACAUAUAUCAUAAAUUAAAAAUAUGCAUGUUUCCAAAAUCGAGUUGACGUGCGUAUCCAUCCUACAAACGGUUAAGGCAUCUUGGAUAUAUUGCAGUGUAUGUUAUUAAUCC